Molecule: ribosomal RNA, 547 nt
Filed under: uncultured bacterium
Lineage: Bacteria
Description: partial 16S ribosomal RNA
Rfam family: Bacterial small subunit ribosomal RNA
Source: RNAcentral
UGGGGAAUUUUGGACAAUGGGCGAAAGCCUGAUCCAGCAAUGCCGCGUGUGUGAAGAAGGCCUUCGGGUUGUAAAGCACUUUUGUCCGGAAAGAAAUCCUUGGCUCUAAUACAGUCGGGGGAUGACGGUACCGGAAGAAUAAGCACCGGCUAACUACGUGCCAGCAGCCGCGGUAAUACGUAGGGUGCAAGCGUUAAUCGGAAUUACUGGGCGUAAAGCGUGCGCAGGCGGUUUGCUAAGACCGAUGUGAAAUCCCCGGGCUCAACCUGGGAACUGCAUUGGUGACUGGCAGGCUAGAGUAUGGCAGAGGGGGGUAGAAUUCCACGUGUAGCAGUGAAAUGCGUAGAGAUGUGGAGGAAUACCGAUGGCGAAGGCAGCCCCCUGGGCCAAUACUGACGCUCAUGCACGAAAGCGUGGGGAGCAAACAGGAUUAGAUACCCUGGUAGUCCACGCCCUAAACGAUGUCAACUAGUUGUUGGAGAUUCAUUUCCUUAGUAACGUAGCUAACGCGUGAAGUUGACCGCCUGGGGAGUACGGUCGCAAGAUU